Molecule: long non-coding RNA, 850 nt
Filed under: Calidris pygmaea (Spoon-billed sandpiper)
Lineage: Eukaryota; Metazoa; Chordata; Aves; Charadriiformes; Scolopacidae
Description: lncRNA (ENSCPGG00000010445.1)
Source: RNAcentral
ACAAUAGAUUAUGGAAAUUAGUCAGAAUAAAUAGGCCUGGAUGGCCUCAGCAGCACUGUGGUGUCAACGGGUCUCAUUGAAUAUGCUCAGAAGCAUGUAACUGUUUGUUUCUCUGCCACAUACAUUUUUCCACAAGAUGAGGAAUGAGCUUGAAAAUGAUACCUGAAUUAAUUUGCAGUUUCCUCUCGACUCUUGGUGUCCUGUGGAAACAGAGCAUUGGUAAAGCAGAUCACAUCACACUGCUGUUCUGCCUUAAAUGGGUCCUCAAUGGUUGGAGAUCUCUUCCACUGUGGUAUUUCUGUUGCUCAAGCACCCACCGCUGUAUUCUAAUACCUUUGUUGACGGGAGUUUUCUGCUGAAACUACAUCACUUACAGAAGAAGAGGAUGGAGUAAUGGCUUCAGGAGAUGUCUCCUGCCCAGGGAGGAGAUAUAAUGGGAAGUGUUGCAAUGGAUAUUUGUUUGCUCCUAAUCCAUCAUUAUCUACUGGCUGGAGAAUUCAGACCAGCUGACUGCAUUUGGAUGAGUCUAAAUUCUUUGGUUUCCUUCUGAAAUCAGCAACUUGACUUCAUGAGAAUUAAGGUUUUUGCCCUUUUCAAGUUAAUGGAACACUUGAGUUCUAGAUCCACAUGACUUUUUGGGAAAGGUGAACCAAGACAGGGUUUCUUCCGGUAUAAAACUGUGCAGCUGCAGGGUCCGAAGACUUUUCCUUAUCAUUAUGUAGUAUUAUUUUAAAUCCUGGUGCAGUGUAACAUAAGGGAAUGGGCUGUGAUUUCACCUGCAUCCCUUAGGUGCAAGAACUGGAAAUAUUUCUUACAGACAUUGAGGAAUGAGAGUCAGUUAAAACAAGCG